Molecule: ribosomal RNA, 506 nt
Filed under: uncultured bacterium
Lineage: Bacteria
Description: partial 16S ribosomal RNA
Rfam family: Bacterial small subunit ribosomal RNA
Source: RNAcentral
AGUGAACGCUGGCGGUAGGCCUAACACAUGCAAGUCGAACGGCAGCACAGGAGAGCUUGCUCUCUGGGUGGCGAGUGGCGGACGGGUGAGGAAUACAUCGGAAUCUACUUUUUCGUGGGGGAUAACGUAGGGAAACUUACGCUAAUACCGCAUACGACCUACGGGUGAAAGCAGGGGACCUUCGGGCCUUGCGCGAUUGAAUGAGCCGAUGUCGGAUUAGCUAGUUGGCGGGGUAAAGGCCCACCAAGGCGACGAUCCGUAGCUGGUAUGAGAGGAUGGUCAGCCACACUGGAACUGAGACACGGUCCAGACUCCUACGGGAGGCAGCAGUGGGGAAUAUUGGACAAUGGGCGCAAGCCUGAUCCAGCCAUACCGCGUGGGUGAAGAAGGCCUUCGGGUUGUAAAGCCCUUUUGUUGGGAAAGAAAUCCAGCUGGCUAAUACCCGGUUGGGAUGACGGUACCCAAAGAAUAAGCACCGGCUAACUUCGUGCCAGCCGCCGCAGUAA